GCCGAUUGCCUUGAGUUGAUAUGGCUCGAAUCAACGCUGGCGGCGUGCCUAACACAUGCAAGUCGAACGCGAAAGUCCCGAAAGGGAUGAGUAGAGUGGCAAACGGGUGAGUAACACGUGGGUGACCUGCCUUCGAGCGGGGGAUAACGUCCCGAAAGGGACGCUAAUACCGCAUAACAUCCUGCCUUUGAAGAGGCGGUGAUCAAAGCUGGGGAUCGCAAGACCUAGCACUUGAAGAGGGGCCCGCGUCCGAUUAGCUAGUUGGUGGGGUAAUGGCCCACCAAGGCAACGAUCGGUAGCCGGCCUGAGAGGGCGGACGGCCACACUGGGACUGAGACACGGCCCAGACUCCUACGGGAGGCAGCAGUGGGGAAUUGUUCGCAAUGGGCGCAAGCCUGACGACGCAACGCCGCGUGGAGGAUGAAGAUCUUCGGGUCGUAAACUCCUUUCGAUCGAGACGAAUUCCUCUGGGGUGAAUAAUCCCGGAGGUUGACGGUACCGAGAGAAGAAGCCCCGGCUAACUCCGUGCCAGCAGCCGCGGUAAUACGGGGGGGGCAAGCGUUGUUCGGAAUUACUGGGCGUAAAGGGCUCGUAGGUGGCCAACUAAGUCAGACGUGAAAUCCCUCGGCUUAACCGGGGAACUGCGUCUGAUACUGGUUGGCUUGAGUUUGGGAGAGGGAUGCGGAAUUCCAGGUGUAGCGGUGAAAUGCGUAGAUAUCUGGAGGAACACCGGUGGCGAANGCGGCAUCCUGGACCAUACUGA
Molecule: ribosomal RNA, 763 nt
Filed under: uncultured bacterium
Lineage: Bacteria
Description: bacterial SSU rRNA
Rfam family: Bacterial small subunit ribosomal RNA
Source: RNAcentral